Molecule: long non-coding RNA, 750 nt
Organism: Diceros bicornis minor
Lineage: Eukaryota; Metazoa; Chordata; Mammalia; Perissodactyla; Rhinocerotidae
Exons: 3
Source: RefSeq, a predicted model, not a curated record
CCUCCUCCCUGGCUUGGCCUGAUGGAUCCCGGGUCAAAGAACAAGAGCAGAGGUCAUCAAAAGGUCAAGUCUAAUCUACCUACAGAUGUGGCAGGCUUAGCUAUGGAUGUUCAAGCCAGACAUUGCCAGGAGAACCACAUCUCUUCACCCAUAGCAUGGACUGUAGGAGAAAGCCCAGAGGAGCAAUGAAGACAAAGAAGACAUGACACCUGCAAAAAGUCAGUGGAGUAUUUCUACAUAAGAAACAUUCCAGGUGAGUUACAGUCAGUAUCUUCCACUGCUCCAGCUCUCGCAAUGAACCUAGAACCUGCCCAGGGUAAGCCGGAAGACCACACCCCGCUAGUCCACUCCCUGCCCGGAGCCGGUUUGUGCAGGGUGACUGCCAUCAAGCAGACAAUGGACUCAGGAUGCAGUGUGUGCCUUUGGGGAGGCUGGCAGAGAGGCACAAAGUGGAACACCAGCUAAGUGCACACACCUGAGAGGCGGAAUUCCAGGUGGAGACUCAAAAUGUACUAAGAAACUGUGUGAAGUGAAGGAAGCUACUCGACCUCUCUGAUCCUCAGUGUCCCCUCCUGUAAAAUGGGGAUCACAGGCCUACUUCAUAGAGCUGUUGGGGAAGAUACAUAAAAGUUCCUGUGACAGGCAGUGUCCACAUUAUUAACAAAGUCAUAUUCGACUUCCAAAUAAUUGAUGAAAAGUAUAAUGUUAAUGAAACCAAAGACGAGCUACCCAGCUUCAGAAGCAGCACCA